CAAUACAGGACUCUUUCGAGGCCCUGUAAUUG
RNAcentral lists this non-coding RNA (32 nucleotides) under Gallus gallus (chicken). The record is from RNAcentral. Lineage: Eukaryota; Metazoa; Chordata; Aves; Galliformes; Phasianidae. RNAcentral also lists the same sequence under 2 other names.